CCGAUCGAAUCCAGUUCAGACUUUAUAACUUUCUCAACUCACCUGUUUCUACAUAUUUUUCAGCACAGCACUUGAGUUUCUGGUGCAUUCACUUACAGUGUACAAGACGCUCAUCAGAUCCUCCUCACUCCCUUUCCUGCUGUCAGACUGGUUCUUGCUGGGAAGCAGGAAAAGCUCCGCAGCUGUCGGGAGUCCAGGGAAAACAGCCACCAGCAGCUGCUCAGCAGGAAUAUCAGCUAUCUAUAAGAAGAAAAAAGAGGAUCUGAAGGUAAAACAUCUGUCUCCAGAUGAAGCUUCAAAAGCCACCAGAAGUAGGUGAGGGUUCGAGAGUAAGAGGGCCAGACCACUGCAGUCAAGUUCACUUCCUUGUUCUUAAUAACCACAAAUGGAGCUAGCAACUGGAUAUGUUCAACAGGAGCUGAAACACAAACAAGGACAUAUUUAGUACAGUGAAUUCAAGCUCACCAGUUGGCAAGACCAUUCAUUUCACUUCUGCUUAACAGCAAUUGGGGUUUUUGUAUUUUAGUUCUUUGCUCUUGUGUUUCUACCCAUACUCAUACUGUAUGUAUGAUUGUGUAUGGUAAAUCUAUGACAAUGCAAAGCAACUUUAAUAUCAUGUGAUAUUGCUGAAAAAUAAAUAGAACACAUUAUAUGACUGGGAUAUUAUUAGUAGCUCACUUGCAGACAAUAGGUCCAGAUGCAGAUGGGUGCUCAUACAGUAUGAUUUCUAUUUUACAAACAACAAACUAGUACACCACUGAGACCUUGACCUAGAAGUUAUUGAUGAAUGAAUGAAUGAAUGAAUGAAUAAAUU
Tachysurus fulvidraco (yellow catfish) is the source of this 814-nucleotide long non-coding RNA. RefSeq lists it as uncharacterized. The transcript has 3 exons. The record is from RefSeq and is a predicted model, not a curated record. NCBI's taxonomy places the organism in Eukaryota, Metazoa, Chordata, Actinopteri, Siluriformes, Bagridae.